GUUGAACGGCCACAUUGGGACUGAGACACGGCCCAGACUCCUACGGGAGGCAGCAGUGGGGAAUAUUGCACAAUGGGGGAAACCCUGAUGCAGCGACGCCGCGUGGAGGAAGAAGGUCUUCGGAUUGUAAACUCCUGUUGUUGGGGAAGAUAAUGACGGUACCCAACAAGGGAAGUGACGGCUAACUACGUGCCAGCAGCCGCGGUAAAACGUAGGUCACAAGCGUUGUCCGGAAUUACUGGGUGUAAAGGGAGCGCAGGCGGGAAGACAAGUUGGAAGUGAAAUCUAUGGGCUCAACCCAUAAACUGCUUUCAAAACUGUUUUUCUUGAGUAGUGCAGAGGUAGGCGGAAUUCCCGGUGUAGCGGUGGAAUGCGUAGAUAUCGGGAGGAACACCAGUGGCGAAGGCGGCCUACUGGGCACCAACUGACGCUGAGGCUCGAAAGUGUGGGUAGCAAACAGGAUUAGAUACCCUGGUAGUCCACACCGUAAACGAUGAUUACUAGGUGUUGGAGGAUUGACCCCUUCAGUGCCGCAGUUAACACAAUAAGUAAUCCACCUGGGGAGUACGACCGCAAGGUUGAAACUCAAAGGAAUUGACGGGGGCCCGCACAAGCAGUGGAGUAUGUGGUUUAAUUCGACGCAACGCGAAGAACCUUACCAAGUCUUGACAUCCCUUGACAGGCAUAGAAAUAUGUUUUCUCUUCGGAGCAAGGAGACAGGUGGUGCAUGGUUGUCGUCAGCUCGUGUCGUGAGAUGUUGGGUUAAGUCCCGCAACGAGCGCAACCCUUAUGGUCAGUUACUACGCAAGAGGACUCUGGCCAGACUGCCGUUGACAAAACGGAGGAAGGUGGGGAUGACGUCAAAUCAUCAUGCCCUUUAUGACUUGGGCUACACACGUACUACAAUGGCGUUAAACAAAGAGAAGCAAGACCGCGAGGUGGAGCAAAACUCAGAAACAACGUCCCAGUUCGGACUGCAGGCUGCAACUCGCCUGCACGAAGUCGGAAUUGCUAGUAAUCGUGGAUCAGCAUGCCACGGUGAAUACGUUCCCGGGCCUUGUACACACCGCCCGUCACACCACGAGAGCCGGGGGGACCCGAAGUCGGUAGUCUAACCGCAAGGAGGACGCCGCCGAAGGUAAAACUGGUGAUUGGGGUGAAGUCGUAACAAGGUAGCCGUAGGAGAACCUGCGGCUG
Molecule: ribosomal RNA, 1197 nt
Filed under: metagenome
Description: bacterial SSU rRNA
Rfam family: Bacterial small subunit ribosomal RNA
Source: RNAcentral